RNAcentral lists this ribosomal RNA (487 nucleotides) under uncultured bacterium. RNAcentral's name for it is "partial 16S ribosomal RNA". It matches the Rfam family "Bacterial small subunit ribosomal RNA", at positions 899 to 1397 of the family's 1533-position model. The record is from RNAcentral.
ACUCAAAGGAAUUGACGGGGGACCGCACAAGCAGCGGAGCGUGUGGUUUAAUUCGAGGCUACACGAAGAACCUUACCUAGGUUUGACAUCUUACUGAAGCUCUUGUGAAAGCGAGGGUGUCCCGCAAGGGACAGUAGGACAGGUGCUGCAUGGCUGUCGUCAGCUCGUGCCGUGAGGUGUUCGGUUAAGUCCGCAAACGAGCGCAACCCUCGGUGCCAGUUACAAGUGUCUGGCGCGACUGCCCGUGGCAAACGGGAGGAAGGUGGGGAUGACGUCAAGUCAGCAUGGCCUUUAUAUCUAGGGCUACACACACGCUACAAUGGCGCGUACAAUGGGUCGCGAAGCUGCGAAGCGGAGCCAAUCCUAAAAAGCGCGUCUCAGUUCAGAUUGUAGGCUGCAACCCGCCUGCAUGAAGUUGGAGUUGCUAGUAACCGCGCGUCAGCAGAGUGCGGUGAAUACGUUCCCGGUCCUUGUACACACCGCCCGU